GGACUGUGGGUCUUGGUUUCCUCUUGGUCCUUUAGGAUGACGUUCCUCUUAAGUCCUGUGAAUGUACUGCCCAGCCUCGACUGUGAAGGUGCUGAGAACCAGUCAGCGGGCUCCCAGACGGGCCCCCUGGGUCCUUCUGAUGCUAGCAGACUACAUCACUAGAGAUGAUACGUCAUCUCCUCCCGGCCUGCUGCUGUCUGAUUAGCCUUCCUGCACCCACUCCCACCUCCUAGAAUAGAGGCUAAACCGAGACAGUGUUUCCAAGAACGACCAGGUCAGUGUUUUAAUCUAAGCUCUGAGCACACUUGAGCAAGCAGGAACAUUUUUAUACUCCCUUGCCUGAGGGCAGGUGGCUGAUCUGUCUCACUAGUGUUAGAACAGUAGGAUCAUGGGAAAGCAGAUAUCACCCAAGGACACUGGAAAGAAUGUAACAGGAGGUGGGUCUGACACACCACCACAGGACCAUGGGGUCUGGCCACUGUCCUUCCUCAUCUCUUCUCACUCUGGGCUUCUCCAGAGAUCACAAGCAGAAGAGAGCUGAAGACCAGCCUCUGAUGGAACUGAGGAGGGGUCCUGACCCUCUUCUCCCACAGCUGUUUCACAGGAAACUUUUUAUUUAUAGGACGCAUGUCUUUCGUGUUAAGAAACCAAAGAGAAAUAAAGAGAACACUCCUAAUACUCUUGC
RNAcentral lists this long non-coding RNA (685 nucleotides) under Rattus norvegicus (Norway rat). Its description in RNAcentral is "long non-coding RNA NONRATT029013". The record is from RNAcentral. Lineage: Eukaryota; Metazoa; Chordata; Mammalia; Rodentia; Muridae.